UUUGGGCUAGGGUAAGGUUUAAGUUUUUUGGCAUUAGGGUUAAAAUCACUGUCCAAAACCUUUGUAGGAACACUUUUCCAACCUUUUGGAAUUAGAUAGACCAAAAAAAUAUGAAAAAUGAAAAAAUAUAUAUUUGGGGUUUUCGGGCUUCCUGAAUGUAAUACCUGGGUAUUAGAUUUUAAGGCGAGGGUAAGGUUUAUGUUUUUUGGCGUUAGGGUUAAAAUCACUGUCCAAAACCUUUGUAGGAACUCUUUUCCAACCUUUUGGAGUUAGUUAAACCAA
This is a non-coding RNA of Xyrichtys novacula (pearly razorfish), 282 nucleotides long. The record is from the annotation of a GenBank genome assembly. NCBI's taxonomy places the organism in Eukaryota, Metazoa, Chordata, Actinopteri, Labriformes, Labridae.